Molecule: ribosomal RNA, 520 nt
Filed under: uncultured Glomus
Lineage: Eukaryota; Fungi; Glomeromycota; Glomeromycetes; Glomerales; Glomeraceae
Description: SSU rRNA
Rfam family: Eukaryotic small subunit ribosomal RNA
Source: RNAcentral
AGCAGCCGCGGUAAUUCCAGCUCCAAUAGCGUAUAUUAAAGUUGUUGCAGUUAAAAAGCUCGUAGUUGAAUUUCGGGGUCAGUAGGUUGGUCGUGCCACUGGUAUGCACUGGCCUUACUGAUUCCUCCCUCUUGUAGAACCGUAAUGCCAUUAAUUUGGUGUUGCGGGGAAACAGGACUGUUACUUUGAAAAAAUUAGAGUGUUUAAAGCAGGCUAACGCUUGAAUACAUUAGCAUGGAAUAAUGAAAUAGGACGUUCGAUCCUAUUUUGUUGGUUUCUAGGAUUGACGUAAUGAUUAAUAGGGAUAGUUGGGGGCAUUAGUAUUCAAUUGUCAGAGGUGAAAUUCUUGGAUUUAUUGAAGACUAACUACUGCGAAAGCAUUUGCCAAGGAUGUUUUCAUUAAUCAAGAACGAAAGUUAGGGGAUCGAAGACGAUCAGAUACCGUCGUAGUCUUAACCAUAAACUAUGCCGACUAGGGAUCGGAUGAUGUUAAUUUUUAAUGACUCAUUCGGCGCCUUAC